UAGGGAAUUUUGCGCAAUGGACGAAAGUCUGACGCAGCAACGCCGUGUGAGGGAUGAAGCAUUUCGGUGUGUAAACCUCUGUCGUUGGUGACUAAAGUUUUCAGGAGUGGAAAGCCUGGAGAUUGAAUGUAGCCAAGAAGGAAGCACUGGCUAACUCUGUGCCAGCAGCCGCGGUAAUACAGGGAGUGCAAGCGUUGUUCGGAAUUACUGGGCGUAAAGGGAGCGUAGGCGGAGCUACAAGUCAGGGGUUAAAGAUCCGGGCUCAACCUGGAAAGUGCCUUUGAGACUGUAGUUCUUGAGUAUGGCAGAGGCUAGCGGAAUUACCGGUGUAGCGGUGGAAUGCGUAGAUAUCGGUAAGAACACCAGAGGCGAAGGCGGCUAGCUGGGCCAAUACUGACGCUGAGGCUCGAAAGUGUGGGGAGCAAACA
This 428-nucleotide ribosomal RNA is filed under the name uncultured prokaryote. RNAcentral describes it as "bacterial SSU rRNA". It matches the Rfam family "Bacterial small subunit ribosomal RNA", at positions 355 to 774 of the family's 1533-position model. The record is from RNAcentral.